GAUGAACGCUGGCGGCGUGCCUAAUACAUGCAAGUCGAGCGAACAGACGAGGAGCUUGCUCCUCUGACGUUAGCGGCGGACGGGUGAGUAACACGUGGAUAACCUACCUAUAAGACUGGGAUAACUUCGGGAAACCGGAGCUAAUACCGGAUAAUAUAUUGAACCGCAUGGUUCAAUAGUGAAAGACGGUUUUGCUGUCACUUAUAGAUGGAUCCGCGCCGCAUUAGCUAGUUGGUAAGGUAACGGCUUACCAAGGCAACGAUGCGUAGCCGACCUGAGAGGGUGAGCGGCCACACUGGAACUGAGACACGGGCCAGACUCCUACGGGAGGCAGCAGUAGGGAAUCUUCCGCAAUGGGCGAAAGCCUGACGGAGCAACGCCGCGUGAGUGAUGAAGGUCUUCGGAUCGUAAAACUCUGUUAUUAGGGAAGAACAAAUGUGUAAGUAACUAUGCACGUCUUGACGGUACCUAAUCAGAAAGCCACGGCUAACUACGUG
This 497-nucleotide ribosomal RNA is filed under the name uncultured bacterium. RNAcentral's name for it is "partial 16S ribosomal RNA". It matches the Rfam family "Bacterial small subunit ribosomal RNA", at positions 28 to 507 of the family's 1533-position model. The record is from RNAcentral.